AAAAAGCCGCGCGCACCAGCUCAUCGUCUAAUAAUGCGUCAUUAUCGCGCCGCCAGGAAAUACAAUCUUCCGUGAAAUCGACAGCUUUAUAGGUGCAAAUAUUCUGUCCGGCGUCAGAUAAGCGACGGCUAAUAAUUAUUACUCAUGCCGGAUUGCGAUUCGAGUCUCUUUUUUAUACCUUUGCAUUUCCCGCGAUUGCACAUCGUCAAUUCGACGAAGGAAGCGAAUUGAACGUAUACUGACAUGUUGCCUCAAAGGACAAAAUUAAGCGGCUCUUCAAGAAAACCUUGGUGAGAAAAUAUAGACUUAUUAAUUUAAAGGAGAGACAUACAGAUACGAAGGUUUUCUCCUCCUCCUGCUGCUCAUGAGAAACUUUAUGGUAGUUAAUUAUUUUGAUUUUAUAUUGCAUUGUAUGAGUUUGCAGAAAGCAUUUAGCAGCUAUAUGAUUUCUCUUCUAAAUUAAUAAGAUCUACCUUUUCGUGGAUUGCUGAAGAGUCGAUUUUUUUAAAUUUAUAAAUUAUUAAUUAAUAUAAUUUAUAUUUCUACACUUUAUGAUAAUCAGUUAGAUUUAUCGCAGAAGAUAACUAAUAUAUAUUGGGAAUUUAUUAUAUCAAUGAUUCAAUUCGUCUCAUAUUCCUUUACUUAUAAUGCUCAAUUAUCUCAUAUCUCGCAAUCUCUCAUUGAAGCGUACAUACGAAAUAACAAUCGAGAUCAAACGCGGGAUUCGCUAAUUACAAAUCAGUCGCUCUCACACGGAGUUAUACGUUAUCUCGCUUUCGUGCGGAUUCACCGAGGAUUAAAGUUUAAUUGAAGUCGAAAAUAAUUACAAAUAUUAAUUUUUACAUAUAUUUUAAGUGACAUUUCCUAUUGCAUAUGUUGAAAAUUGUCAUGUGAAUUACAUGUGAUGAAAAUUUCAUAUGAAUUGCAUAUGUGAAAAUUUUAUCCAUCGCAUCAGAGAAGGUAAUAACUAUUAAAAUUAUAAGAGUCUACCAAAUUAUUACCUCAAUAAAGCUGCAAUAAAAAAAA
Wasmannia auropunctata (little fire ant) is the source of this 1026-nucleotide long non-coding RNA. RefSeq lists it as uncharacterized. The transcript is spliced from 2 exons. The record is from RefSeq and is a predicted model, not a curated record. Lineage: Eukaryota; Metazoa; Arthropoda; Insecta; Hymenoptera; Formicidae.